AGUGGAUGGGGAGCAACCUAGUUGUGCGUGUGUAAAGGUAGUGCCAAGAAAAGCGAUGAUCAUGUUGAAAAUCAAUUCCCGGUACCCGAAACCGACACAGGUGGGCAAGUAGAGAAUACUAAGGGGCGCGAGGUAACUCUCUCCAAGGAACUCGGCAAAAUGACCCCGUAACUUAGGGAGAAGGGGUGCCACCGAGAGGUGGUCGCAGUGAAGAGGCCCAGGCGACUGUUUAGCAAAAACAUAGGUCUCUGCAAACUCGAAAGAGGAGGUAUAGGGGCUGACGCCUGCCCAGUGCCGGAAGGUUAAAGAAGUUGGUCAGUUUUAGGAUGAAGCUAGCGACUGAAGCCCCGGUGAACGGCGGCCGUAACUAUAACGGUCCUAAGGUAGCGAAAUUCCUUGUCGGGUAAGUUCCGACCCGCACGAAAGGCGUAACGAUCUGGGCGCUGUCUCGGAGAGAGGCUCGGCGAAAUAGGAUUGUCUGUGAAGAUACGGACUACCUGCAUUUGGACAGAAAGACCCUAUGAAGCUUUACUAUAGCUUGGAAUUGUGUUCGGGCUUCCUGUGCGCAGGAUAGGUGGGAGGCGUAGAAGGUAUUCUUGUGGGGAUACUGGAGCCAACGGUGAGAUACCACUCUCAGGAGGCUAGAAUUCUAACUUAAUUAAGGACAGUUUCAGGUGGGUAGUUUGACUGGGGCGGUCGCCUCCAAAAAGGUAACGGAGGCGUACAAAGGUUCCCUCAGACUGGUUGGAAAUCAGUCGAAGAGUGCAAAGGCAGAAGGGAGCUUGACUGCGAGAAGUACAGUUCGAGCAGGGUGGAAACACGGUCUUAGUGAUCCGACGGUGCUGUGUGGAAGGGCCGUCGCUCAACGGAUAAAAGUUACUCUAGGAUAACAGGCUGAUCUCCCCCAAGAGUUCACAUCGACGGGGAGGUUUGGCACCUCGAUGUCGGCUCAUCGCAACCUGGGGCGGAAGUACGUCCCAAGGGUUGGGCUGUUCGCCCAUUAAAGCGGUACGUGAGCUGGGUUCAGAACGUCGUGAGGCAGUUCGGUCCAUAUCCGAUGUAGGCGUGAGAAUAUUGAGAGGAGCCUUCCUUAGUACGAGAGGACCGGGAAGGACGCACCGCUGGUGUACCUGUUAUGAUGCCAAUUGUAAACGCAGGGUAGCCAAGUGCGGAGAGGAUAACCGCUGAAAGCAUCUAAGUGGGAAGCCCACCUCAAGAUGAGUAUUCUGGUGUAAGGUCACGGGAAGACGACCCGUAAAUAGGCACGAGGUGGAAGUGCAGAGAUGUAUGAAGCCGAAGUGUGCUAAUAGACCGUCGGCUUGACC
RNAcentral lists this ribosomal RNA (1325 nucleotides) under metagenome. RNAcentral's name for it is "bacterial LSU rRNA". It matches the Rfam family "Bacterial large subunit ribosomal RNA", at positions 1561 to 2925 of the family's 2925-position model. The record is from RNAcentral.